RNAcentral lists this ribosomal RNA (543 nucleotides) under Triticum aestivum (bread wheat). Its description in RNAcentral is "partial small subunit ribosomal RNA". The record is from RNAcentral. Lineage: Eukaryota; Viridiplantae; Streptophyta; Magnoliopsida; Poales; Poaceae.
AUGGCAGCCUCGGGGCUUUGGAAGGCGCGAAUCCCGCUAAAAAUUAAGGUCUUUCUUUGGCAAUUAUGUCAGGAUCGCCUUCCUACCUCUAUUAAUAUAGCCAAGCGCAAUGGCCCUGCUUCCGGACCGUGCGCUUUGUGUCAUAACGCGGAAGAUGCUGACCACGCGUUUUUUCGCUGCCCUUUGGCGCGGUUUGCUUGGAGUGCGGCCAGGGAGGCCGCUGGGGUGGAUUGGGAUCCACGCUCACGCUCUGAGCUUGUGUCUUACUUAUCUGCGAUCCCGGGCUCUUUGCGCCGGAUAAUGUGGACGUGUGCUUCGGCCUUGCUAUGGGCCUUAUGGCAUAUUCGUAACAAGUUUACUAUUGAGGGAGCGUUUCCCUCUCACCCUGCUGAUGUUAUCUUCAAAUGCAUCUUAUUCUUGCAGCAGUGGGCUACGCUGGGAAGGCAACAGGAUGUUGAUCUCCAUCGACAUGCCAUCGCUCGGCUCCGCACAGUCUACUCGGUGUCCCGGGCCCCGUCGCCUCCUCCGUCUGCUGCCUUAUAG